AGGUUGGCUCAGAAGCAGCCAUCCUUUAAAGAGUGCGUAACAGCUCACUAGUCGAAUGACUCUGCGCCGAUAAUUUACCGGGGCUAAGCAUACUACCGAAGCUAUGGAUCCCAAGGGAUGGUAGGGGAGCGUUCCAUGAACGGAGAAGCGCGAUCGAGAGGACGCGUGGAGAUCAUGGAAGAGAGAAUGCCGGUGUGAGUAGCGGAACGUGGGUGAGAAUCCCACGCACCGAAAACCCAAGGUUUCCAGAGGAAGGUUCGUCCGCUCUGGGUAAGUCGGGACCUAAGGCGAGGCCGAAAGGCGUAGUCGAUGGACAACAGGUAGAGAUUCCUGUACCCGUAUAUAUGUGAAGGAAUGACGGAGAGAGGAAGCUGCAGCCAGCGGCUGGAAGAGCUGGUGCAAGCGAGAUAUCGGGAUGGCAGGCAAAUCCACCAUCCGAAACGAGAAGGCGUGAAGCGUACGGAAAGCUAAGGCGAGUACGGAAGGCAGUGGAGGAGCUUCCAAGAAAAGUUUCUAACGAAAGUAUAUGUGACCCGUACCGAAAAUGGACACACAUGGGUGAGGAGAGAAUCCUAAGGUGAGCGAGAGAACUAUAGCUAAGGAACUCUGCAAAAUGACUCCGUAACUUAGGGAGAAGGAGUGCUCAUAGAGAUAUGAGCCGCAGUGAAACGGCCCAAGCGACUGUUUACCAAAAACACAGCUCUCUGCUAAGCCGCAAGGCGAAGUAUAGGGGGUGACGCCUGCCCGGUGCUGGAAGGUUAAGGGGAGGGGUUAACGCAAGUGAAGCCCUGAACUGAAGCCCCAGUAAACGGCGGCCGUAACUAUAACGGUCCUAAGGUAGCGAAAUUCCUUGUCAGGUAAGUUCUGACCCGCACGAAAGGCGUAACGAUUUGGGCGCUGUCUCAGCUGUAGACUCGGUGAAGUCUUAGUACCUGUGAAGAUGCAGGUUACCCGCGACUAGACGGAAAGACCCCAUGGAGCUUCACUGCAGGUUGAUAUUGGGAUUUGAUGCAGCAUGUACAGGAUAGGUAGGAGGCAAAGAGAUGGAUACGCCAGUAUUCAAGGAGCCGCUGUUGGGAUACUACCCCUGUUGUAUUGGAUUUCUAACCGGACGACGUAGAGCCGUUGACGGGACAGUGUCAGUCGGGCAGUUUGACUGGGGCGGUCGCCUCCCAAAGAGUAACGGAGGCGCCCAAAGAUACCCUCAGCUUGGAUGGAAACCAAGCGCAGAGUGCAAAGGCAAAAGGGUGUUUGACUGCGAGACCCACAAGUCGAGCAGGGACGAAAGUCGGGCUUAGUGAUCCGGCGGUGCUGAAUGGAAAGGCCGUCGCUCAACGGAUAAAAGCUACCCUGGGGAUAACAGGCUGAUCUCCCCCAAGAGUUCACAUCGACGGGGAGGUUUGGCACCUCGAUGUCGGCUCAUCGCAUCCUGGAGCUGAAGUCGGUUCCAAGGGUUGGGCUGUUCGCCCAUUAAAGCGGUACGCGAGCUGGGUUCAGAACGUCGUGAGACAGUUCGGUCCCUAUCUGUCGUGGGCGCAGGAAAUUUGAGAAGAGCUGUCCUCAGUACGAGAGGACCGGGAUGGACGCAUCAAUGGUGGACCAGUUGUCACGCCAGUGGCAUAGCUGGGUAGCUAAAUGCGGAAGGGAUAAACGCUGAAGGCAUCUAAGUGUGAAACCCACUUCAAGAUGAGAUUUCCCAUUGCGCAAGCAAGUAAGACCCCUUAAAGACGAUAAGGUAGAUAGGUCAGGAGUGUAAGCAUGGUGACAUGUUAAGCGGACUGAUACUAAUAGGUCGAGGGCUUGACCGA
This 1808-nucleotide ribosomal RNA is filed under the name human gut metagenome. Its description in RNAcentral is "bacterial LSU rRNA". It matches the Rfam family "Bacterial large subunit ribosomal RNA", at positions 1098 to 2925 of the family's 2925-position model. The record is from RNAcentral.